AGAUGGAUCAUUCGCAAACAACUGUUGUAGAAAAAGUUAUUGUGCGAUAAUUUUUGUGAUAAUAGAGAAAAGAGGCUUCCUCAGUAUAAACGAUUAAAAGAAGUUUGUAUAUAAAACUUUCUGUGAUGGAUGUCUCGGGUCUUGUAACGAUGAAAAAUGCAGCUAACUGUGAUAUGCAGUGUAACUUGCAAACUUCUAAGAAUCAUUAGAUCUUUGAACGCGAAAAGUCUUUUUAAGUUCAACUUAAAAGGAUGUUCAUUUCAGUGUUUCGACUAUUUAUUGUCUACACAGUGACAAUGUGAAAAGUAACUGCUUCGCGGUGCCUUAUUCUGACAAUUUAGUUGUUUUUUUUCAAAUCAUACAUAAUGAUAAACAGCUGGAGUUCUUGUAGAAGAAACCUGAAUUUGAGCAAGAGUACCUGCUGAACUUAAGCAUAUUAUUAAGCAGAGGAAAGGAAACUUACAAGGAUUUCCUUAGUAACGGCGAGUGAAUAGGAAAGAGCUCAAACUGAAAACUGACAGGUAACUGUCGAAUUGUAGUCUCAUGAUUUGCAACUUGUAGUUGUUUUGGGUUAAGUCUCUUGGAAAAGAGUACCAAAGAGGGUGAAAGUCCUGUCUUUGCUCAGUAACAUUUACUUCUGGCGCAAUUUAAAAGAGUCGCGUUCCUUGAGAUUGGAAUGCUAAGUGGGUGAUAAAUUUCAUCUAAAGUUAAAAAUAAACGAGGUUCCGAUAGCAUACAAGUACCGUGAGGGAAAGAUGAAAAGGACUUUGACAAGAGAGUUAAAAGGAACUGAAAUCACUGAAAAAAAAGUAGAAAAGAUUAACUUUUGAAUGCAACUUUGAUGUUUUGCGUAUGUGUUUCUUACGUAAAAACAUUAGAAGGUGUAUUAUAAAACUGAGAACGGUUGUAUUUUAACAAUUAAACUAGUGAUGUGAUUCAAAGUCGCUUCACUGAUGAUUUGUUUAGUGUAACUGUGACAUUAAUAUAAUUUUUCUUUAAUUAUAUUAUGUUUUUCCAGUAUGUUUUUCUUUACUGACCCGUCUUGAAACACGGACCAAGGAGUCUAACAUAUAUGCAAGUACAAGAGUGUAAAACUCACGUGCAAAAUGAAAGUGGCUUUUCAGGAUGAGCUAUUUGUACUGAAACCCGGUUAGUAAAUUGAGGUUGAGCAUAUAAUUUAGGACCCGAAAGAUGGUGAACUAUGCUUGAGUAAGGCGAAGCUAGAGGAAACUCUGGUGGAGGCUUGAAUCGAUACUGACGUGCAAAUCGUUUGUCAAAUUUGAGUAUAGGGGCGAAAGACUAAUCGAACCAUCUAGUAGCUGGUUCUCUC
Molecule: unclassified non-coding RNA, 1330 nt
Filed under: uncultured apicomplexan
Lineage: Eukaryota; Apicomplexa
Description: sequence contains 18S rRNA gene, ITS1, 5.8S rRNA gene, ITS2, 28S rRNA gene
Rfam family: Eukaryotic large subunit ribosomal RNA (bases 395-1330)
Source: RNAcentral